RNAcentral lists this ribosomal RNA (468 nucleotides) under uncultured bacterium. RNAcentral's name for it is "partial 16S ribosomal RNA". It matches the Rfam family "Bacterial small subunit ribosomal RNA", at positions 28 to 507 of the family's 1533-position model. The record is from RNAcentral.
GACGAACGCUGGCGGCGUGCUUAACACAUGCAAGUCGAACGGAAAGGCCCUGCUUUUGUUGCGCGCUUGACUGGCGGACGGGUGAGUAACACGUGAGUAACCUGCCCCUGACUUUGGGAUAUCUUCAGCUAACUGGGGCUCAUACCGGAUAGGCGUUCUUGCUGCAUGGUGGGGGUUGGAAAGUUUCGGCGGUUGGGGAUGGACUCGCGGCUUAUCAGCUUGUUGGUGGGGUAGUGGCUUACCAAGGCUUUGACGGGUAGCCGGCCUGGGAGGGUGACCGGCAAAAUUGGACCUGGGAAACGGCCCAGCUUCCAACGGGAGGCAGCGGGGGGGAAUAUGGCCCAAUGGGGGGAAGCCUGUGGAGGAACGGCGGGGGGCGGAAUGCCGGCUUUCGGGUGGUAACCCGCUUUCGCCUGUGACGAAGCGUGUGUGACGGUAAUGGGAAAAGAAGCACCGGCUAACUACGUG